RNAcentral lists this transfer RNA (65 nucleotides) under Histeroidea sp. 5 KM-2017. Its description in RNAcentral is "tRNA-Ser". Lineage: Eukaryota; Metazoa; Arthropoda; Insecta; Coleoptera. The record is from RNAcentral.
AAUUAAUGAACUUGUCUAAGUGUUUACUUUGAAAGUAAAAAAAAGAGUAAACACUCUAUUAAUUU